RNAcentral lists this ribosomal RNA (238 nucleotides) under uncultured bacterium. RNAcentral's name for it is "partial 16S ribosomal RNA". It matches the Rfam family "Bacterial small subunit ribosomal RNA", at positions 96 to 334 of the family's 1533-position model. The record is from RNAcentral.
UGGCGGACGGGUGAGUAACGCGUGGGUAACCUGCCUCAUACAGGGGGAUAACAGUUAGAAAUGACUGCUAAUACCGCAUAAGACCACAGCACCGCAUGGUGCAGGGGCAAAAACUCCGGUGGUAUGAGAUGGACCCGCGUCUGAUUAGGUGGUUGGUGGGGUAACGGCCUACCAAGCCGACGAUCAGUAGCCGACCUGAGAGGGUGACCGGCCACAUUGGGACUGAGACACGGCCCAA